This 770-nucleotide ribosomal RNA is filed under the name Staphylococcus aureus. RNAcentral describes it as "partial 23S ribosomal RNA". It matches the Rfam family "Bacterial large subunit ribosomal RNA", at positions 1340 to 2105 of the family's 2925-position model. The record is from RNAcentral. Lineage: Bacteria; Bacillati; Bacillota; Bacilli; Caryophanales; Staphylococcaceae.
AUUGACUAAGGUUUCCAGAGGAAGGCUCGUCCGCUCUGGGUUAGUCGGGUCCUAAGCUGAGGCCGACAGGCGUAGGCGAUGGAUAACAGGUUGAUAUUCCUGUACCACCUAUAAUCGUUUUAAUCGAUGGGGGGACGCAGUAGGAUAGGCGAAGCGUGCGAUUGGAUUGCACGUCUAAGCAGUAAGGCUGAGUAUUAGGCAAAUCCGGUACUCGUUAAGGCUGAGCUGUGAUGGGGAGAAGACAUUGUGUCUUCGAGUCGUUGAUUUCACACUGCCGAGAAAAGCCUCUAGAUAGAAAAUAGGUGCCCGUACCGCAAACCGACACAGGUAGUCAAGAUGAGAAUUCUAAGGUGAGCGAGCGAACUCUCGUUAAGGAACUCGGCAAAAUGACCCCGUAACUUCGGGAGAAGGGGUGCUCUUUAGGGUUAACGCCCAGAAGAGCCGCAGUGAAUAGGCCCAAGCGACUGUUUAUCAAAAACACAGGUCUCUGCUAAACCGUAAGGUGAUGUAUAGGGGCUGACGCCUGCCCGGUGCUGGAAGGUUAAGAGGAGUGGUUAGCUUCUGCGAAGCUACGAAUCGAAGCCCCAGUAAACGGCGGCCGUAACUAUAACGGUCCUAAGGUAGCGAAAUUCCUUGUCGGGUAAGUUCCGACCCGCACGAAAGGCGUAACGAUUUGGGCACUGUCUCAACGAGAGACUCGGUGAAAUCAUAGUACCUGUGAAGAUGCAGGUUACCCGCGACAGGACGGAAAGACCCCGUGGAGCUUUACU